This 212-nucleotide unclassified non-coding RNA is filed under the name Hevea brasiliensis (rubber tree). The record is from RNAcentral. Lineage: Eukaryota; Viridiplantae; Streptophyta; Magnoliopsida; Malpighiales; Euphorbiaceae.
GGACAUAUCAAAACAUGGCUACAAGGGCUACAAGUUUAUUGGUAGCAUCAUCAGCAGCCUCAAAAGUAUAAAUGAAAAUAACCGGUAGUCACCGUUAAGCAUAGUUCAUUAAUACAUCUAUCACAUAAAAUACGGCAAAAGAUAGGUCAAUUGACAUAUUUUCUGAUCCAUCUUUUAUUAAAUAACUCACCAAUCAGGUUGCAUGAAUAAUG